RNAcentral lists this ribosomal RNA (3153 nucleotides) under Triticum aestivum (bread wheat). Its description in RNAcentral is "partial small subunit ribosomal RNA". The record is from RNAcentral. Lineage: Eukaryota; Viridiplantae; Streptophyta; Magnoliopsida; Poales; Poaceae.
AUGCCGGUGGCGCACAAACGCUUCCACUUUGAGGACUAUUGGCUUAGGCUUGACGGCUUCCACGACACCGUUGCCGCGGCUUGGAGCUCCGCGCAUGACGACGACCCUUUCCGGCGGCUGGUCAAGCGUCUCCAGGCCACUGCUCGACGCUUAUCGAGUUGGAGCGCCAAGUCCACGGGCAACAUACGGGAAAAGCUGGCCAUAUCCCGCGAGCUGAUCUUGCGCUUCGACAAAGCACGGGAGGACCGGGCGCUCUCCCCUCCGGAGGAAUGGCUCCGCAAGCAGCUCAAGGUCGCCUACCUCGGCAUGGCAUCCUUGGAGCGCACAAUCGCCAGGCAGCGCGCCCGUAUCGCGUCUCUCAAGGACGGCGACGCCAACAUGAGCUUCUUCCACCGGCAAUGCUCCUAUCGGCGACAGAAGAACCGCAUAUACAGCCUUGCCGUCCACGGGCAUGUGCUCACGGCUCAUGAGGAAAUGGCCAACGCAGCGUUCUCGCAUUUUGAUGGCCUGCUGGGCACCGCUGUGGACCGGGCGCACACGCUGGAUCUCUCCCAGCUCAUUGAGCCCAGCGACCUUGCAUGCCUAGACGUGCCCUUCAGCCAGGAGGAGAUUUGGGAGGCGGUCAAACGCAUGCCGGCGCGUAAAGCGCCUGGACCGGAUGGAUUCACCGCGGAGUUUCUGCGUGCCUGCUGGAGCAUCAUUCGCCAUGACAUAUGGGACGUUUUCGAGCUGCUUUACACGCUGCGCGGCCGCGGGUUCAGCAAGCUUAACCAAGCGCUGCUGACCCUGCUGCCUAAGCGCGCGGACGCCCACACGCUUGGUGACUACCGGCCGAUAUGCCUGAUCCACAUUGUGGCCAAGAUCGUCUCGAAGGUCCCGUCGUUGCGCCUCGCCCCCAAGCUGGAUACCCUUGUAAGCAGCAACCAAAAUGCAUUCAUUGCCGGGCGCAGCCUCCAUGACAACUUCGUCCUAGUCCGGCAGUCCCUCAAGAUGCUGCACCAACUUGGCGCACCCAGGAUCAUGCUCAAGCUCGACCUCACACGUGCCUUCGACUCCAUCUCGUGGCCCUUCCUCUUUGAGGUGCUGCGCAAGUAUGGAUUUGGGGACCGAUUCCGGGAGUGGAUGGCCAUUCUGCUCUCCUCGGCAAGCACGCGGGUCAUGAUCAAUGGAGUUCCCGGCCCGCCAAUCUGGCACCGGCGCGGCCUACGACAAGGUGACUCCACCUCCCCACAACUCUUCGUGCUGGCGGUGGACACCCUUGGGAGGCUGAUGCGACACGCCCUACAGACCGGCAUCCUUCAGCAGCUGCAUCCCCGACGAGCCAUCCCGGCGAUCUCUCUUUACGCCGAUGAUGUGAUGAUGUUCUGCCAUGCCACUACUGAGGAGAUCGCCGCUGUCAAAGGCAUCCUGGACGUGUUCGGUACGGCUUCUGGGCUCCGUGUGAACUACGCCAAGAGCUCGGCCACGAUCCUUCACGCCGGCGACUACGAAGUGGGGCUGCUGGAGCCACUCGGGUGCCCCGUCAUGGCCUUGCCGGUUACUUACCUGGGCAUCCCGCUCUCCACUCACCGCCCAUCCGCAGCACAGCUGCAACCCCUCGUCGACGCGGUGGCGGGCCGGCUGCCUUCCUGGAAAGCUUGGCUGAUGAACAAAGCGGGACGGCUAGCUCUCGUCAAAUCGGUGCUUAAUGCAAUACCGAUCCAUCAACUGCUAGCGCUUGCGCCCCCAAGGAAAACCCUGAAGCAAUUAGAGAAGAUUCAGCGCGGGUUUCUUUGGGCCGGCCGCGCGGAUGCCCACGGUGGACAUUGCCACGUCAACUGGCGUAAGGUUUGCCGUCCGCUUGAAUAUGGCGGCCUUGGCAUCCGGGACCUCGAGCGCACGGGGCUAUCACUUCGGCUGCGCUGGCUAUGGCUCACGCGCACGGACACUACUCGAGCCUGGCAGGGGCUGGACACGCAAUUUACGACGGAGGAGCGUGCGCUCUUUUACGCCUCCACGACUAUGGCCAUUGGAGACGGCAGGACAGCCCUGUUCUGGGAGGAUCGCUGGCUUGGUGGCCAAUCCGUCCGCGAGCUUGCGCCUAGGCUCCUCAAGUGCAUCCCCAAGCAACGUCAAAAAUCUAGAACGGUGGCGGAGGCCCUGGCCGGCAAUAGUUGGGCACGUGACAUCCAUGGCCUGCUAGGCCUCCCGGAGAUUGGACAGUACCUUCAGCUCUGGCACUUAGUGCAACAUGUCGAGCUGUCCAAUGAGCCGGACAGGCUGCUCUGGAGCUGGACAGCCAGCGGCGUCUACACCGCCCAGUCUUUCUACCGGGCAACUUUCCAGGGCGCGACGGGCUGCCACUCCUGGAAGCUCAUUUGGAGGAGCUGGGCACCGUCCAAGGUGAAAUUCUUCCACUGGCUGGCAUGUCAAGAUCGCUGUUGGACCGCGGAGAGACUCGCACGCCGUGGCCUGCAACAUCACCCGCGGUGCCUUCUGUGCGAUCAGGAACCGGAGACGAUCGGGCAUCUGAUGCUCACAUGCCCAUUCACUAAGCAGACAUGGCAGGAGGUCUUAUCUUGGCUGCGCUUGCCGGCGCCGGCGCCCGAGCACGACGGCUCGCUCAUGGAUUGGUGGCUGCGCGCAAAGGAAUACACACCACCAGCGCUCCGCAAGGCGCUCAAAUCUGUGGCACUUUUGGUACCGUGGAUGAUCUGGAAGCAUAGAAAUGCGUGUGUUUUCGACCAUGUGAACCCAUCGCUGAACGAGCUUGUAGACAGGAUCAAAGACCAGAUGUUGGGCAAAGGCUGGAGCUCAAGGGCUCAGGGUCGUUUUGCCAUCAUCCUGGGACGUGCACUGAGCCUCUGUUGUCUGUGUGUACUAACCGCCUCCUACGAGGAUGUAAAUACCCUCUCUUUCCAAUGCAAUGAAACGCAAAGGCCAUUUGCGUUUUCUCGAAAUCCUCAAGCUAUUAGGAUAUUUACCAAAUGGAAAAUUUUGAGUUUGUUCAUAAAUCAUCUAUUAUUAUCGUGUAGCAGUGCCUUGAAGGGCCUGAUAGUGCAGCUUCAAACUAUUAGGAUUACUAAACACCGAACUGGUAAAUUUGAAUUCACUUCAGUUUUUAUGGUUUGCAAUCAUGAUGUAUGCAGUAGUUUCCAUGUUUAUUACAUUUAA